This 434-nucleotide ribosomal RNA is filed under the name Macrothele holsti. RNAcentral describes it as "partial 16S ribosomal RNA". It matches the Rfam family "Bacterial large subunit ribosomal RNA", at positions 1825 to 2602 of the family's 2925-position model. Lineage: Eukaryota; Metazoa; Arthropoda; Arachnida; Araneae; Macrothelidae. The record is from RNAcentral.
AAACAUUUCUAAUCGUAUUAAUAAUUAGUACCUCCUGCUCAAUGAAUUCUUAAAUAGCCGCGUCUAUUCGUGCUAAGGUAGCAUAAUCAUUUGCCUUCUAAUUAAGGGCUUGAAUGAAUGGAUUUACAUGCAGGUCUCCCUAUUAUUAAGACUACUUUAAAUUUUCUUAUAAGUAAGAAGACUUAUAUAAAAUAGGGGGACGACAAGACCCCAACGAACUUUACUUAAAGUUAGCUGGGGUGGCAUAAAACUAUAUCUUUUUUCAACAAAAUAUCUCUUUUAAAAGAAUUUACAAGUUACCGUGGGGAUAACAGCAUAAUUUUUUCUUAAAGAUCUUAUUAAAGAAUAAGUUUGUGACCUCGAUGUUGAAUUAAUUACCUUUAAGGAGCAAAAUCUUUAUAAGGAAGUCUGUUCGACUUUUAAAUAUUUACGUG